AGAUAUUUUAAAAAAGAUGUCUCGAUGAAAACAGCAACAGUUUCACAGUUUUAUUUCCUCUCUCUUCUAUUUAAGUUGCAUAUGGAUUGGAUUCUUAAUGAAGAUUAAACACAACUAACAAAGGUACGUAUGUAUCAAAACCAGUCAAAAGGAUCCCUAAGAAGUGUAGCUCGAGGUUGGAUUUCCUGGCCCUCCCAAAGCGACCACCCAAAGAUUUUCAAGCACCAAUAAUACUUCCUAUCAAAAUAAGUCGCAAAGCUAAAACUGCAGUUGCAUCAAAUCGAAUCUCUGAACUUGCCAUUCCAUUAGAACGAAAGAUAACUCCCAAAUAUGAAAGAGAGGACUCCUUAAAUUCUCAGCGCCAUCCCUAUCAUAUUCCACUAAGUUCAAGGAUGGAGAAGUUAGCACUUAGCAAGCCACUACAUCCAGAUUUUGUACCUAUACAACCAGUCCAAAGACCCAUUAAUAGAGCGAUGCUGAAUGUAAUUCCUUCUCAAAGAAUUGUGGAACUGAGUAAACCAAUUAUUCGGAAAACGAGGCGUAUAAACUUCAACCCUUUCCAAGUGCAUCCAGGUACGCAGAUUGCAAAAGCCUCCGAGCGAAUAAUGCAGCUAGCACAACCUAAAAAGUUUCCCUUUAAGAUUUCUCCGAGAUUUCCAAGAUGUUAGCACUUAGCAAGCUGUUGCAGCUAGACUUCAUACCUGAGUAACUCAUCCAAAGACGUACCAGCAGACCAAUAUCGAAUGUUAUUCUUUCACAGGAACUUGUCGACUUGAGUAAACUAUAUCUUUGGAAAAUGAGGUCAAUAACUUAUGACCUAGUGAAUCCAGCUAUGCAGAUGGUAAAUGCCACUGAGUGAAUAUUGACUCUAGCAAAACCAAAGAGGUUGCACGCUGAGGUCACUUUUUGAAUUUUUAAAUUUUGUGAAUGCCCUUUUGAAAUUCAUUUGUUAAUCAUUGUAUAUUGAUGCGAGCAAAACCC
Long non-coding RNA from Octopus sinensis (East Asian common octopus), 981 nucleotides. RefSeq lists it as uncharacterized. The record is from RefSeq and is a predicted model, not a curated record. Lineage: Eukaryota; Metazoa; Mollusca; Cephalopoda; Octopoda; Octopodidae. The transcript is spliced from 2 exons.